This 1196-nucleotide ribosomal RNA is filed under the name uncultured euryarchaeote. RNAcentral describes it as "partial 16S ribosomal RNA". It matches the Rfam family "Archaeal small subunit ribosomal RNA", at positions 30 to 1208 of the family's 1478-position model. The record is from RNAcentral. Lineage: Archaea; Methanobacteriati; Methanobacteriota.
CUAUCGGAGUGCGACUUAGAACUGCAAGUCGAAGGUGUGUAGCUGGGCACGCCUGGCGUACGGCUGAGUAAUACAUGGACAACCUACCCUAAAGAGAUGGAUAACCUUGGGAAACUGAGGACAAUACAUCAUAGGUAAGAAAUACUGGAAUGUUUUCUUGCUCAAAGGCUUUAUCACCAUGCUGAUAAGGUGCUUUAGGAAGGGUCUGUGGUCGAUUAGGUAGUUGGUGGGGUAACGGCCCACCAAGCCGAUAAUCGGUAGGGGCCUUGAGAGAGGGAGCCCCCAGUCGGGAACUGAGAUAAGAUCCCGAGCCCUACGGGGUGCAGCAGUCGCGAAACCUUUACAAUGCGGGAAACCGUGAUAAGGGUACUCCGAGUGUCGACGCGCCGCGUCAACUUUUCAGAUGCCUAAAAAGCAUUUGGAAUAAGUGGUGGGCAAGGCCGGUGGCAGCCGCCGCGGUAAAACCGGCACCACAAGCGAUAUCCAUGAAUAUUGGGCCUAAAGCGUCCGUAGCCGGUCUAGUUAGUUCUUUGUGAAAUCCCAUAGCUCAACUAUGGGGCGUGCAGAGGAUACUGCUAGACUUGGGAUUGGGAGAGGGAAGAGGUACUCAUGAGGUAGGGGUUAAAUCCGUUAAUCUCAUGGGGACCACCUGUGGCGAAGGCAUCUUCCUGGAACAACUCCGACGGUGAGGAACGAAAGCUAGGGGAGCAAACCGGAUUAGAUACCCGGGUAGUCCUAGCCGUAAAUGAUGCGGGCUUGGUGUUGCGCAACUUACGAGGUUGUGCAGUGCCGUAGGGAAGCCGUUAAGCCCGCCGCCUGGGGAGUACGACCGCAAGGCUGAAACUUAAAGGAAUUGGCGGGAGAGCACCACAAGGGGUGGAGGCUGUGGUUUAAUUGGAUUCAACCCCGGAAACCUCACCAGGAAAGACGGCAGAAUGAAGGCCAUGCUGAAGACAUUGCCAGACAAGCCGAGAGGUGGUGCAUGGCCAUCGUCAGCUCGUGCUGUAAAGUGUCCGGUUAAGUCCGGCAACGAGCGAGACCCCCGUCUCCAGUUGCCACCUGUUCCUCCGGGAGCAGAGCACAAUGGAGAGACUGCCUGCGUUAAGUGGGAGGAAGGUGGGGGCGACGGUAGGUCUGUAUGCCCCGAAUUCCCUGGGCCACACGCGGCCUACAAUGGGUAGGACAAUGGGAUGCGA